This 568-nucleotide ribosomal RNA is filed under the name uncultured archaeon. RNAcentral describes it as "bacterial SSU rRNA". It matches the Rfam family "Archaeal small subunit ribosomal RNA", at positions 326 to 900 of the family's 1478-position model. The record is from RNAcentral.
CGGGGUGCACCAGGCGCGAAAACUUUACAAUGCUGGCAACAGCGAUAAGGGGACCUCGAGUGCCAGGAUACAAUCUUGGCUGUCGCGAUGCCUAAAAAGCAUUGCAUAGCAAGGGCCGGGCAAGACCGGUGCCAGCCGCCGCGGUAACACCGGCGGCUCGAGUGGUAACCGCUAUUAUUGGGUCUAAAGGGUCUGUAGCCGGCCGGAUAAGUCUUUUGGGAAAUCCAGCUGCUCAACAGUUGGGCUUUCAGAAGAUACUGUUCGGCUCGAGACCGGGAGAGGUGAGAGGUACUUCAGGGGUAGGGGUGAAAUCUUGUAAUCCUUGAAGGACCACCAGUGGCGAAGGCGUCUCACCAGAACGGAUCUGACGGCAAGGGACGAAAGCUAGGGGCACGAACCGGAUUAGAUACCCGGGUAGUCCUAGCCGUAAACGAUACUCGCUAGGUGUCAGCCACGGUGCGACCGUGGUUGGUGCCGUAGGGAAGCCGUGAAGCGAGCCACCUGGGAAGUACGGCCGCAAGGCUGAAACUUAAAGGAAUUGGCGGGGGAGCACAAGGGCGAAUUGCGG